UGAGGAAUAUUGGACAAUGGGCGCAAGCNUGAUCCAGCCAUGCCGCGUGCAGGAUGACGGUCNUAUGGAUUGUAAACUGCUUUUAUACAGGAAGAAACACUUCCGACGUGUCGGAGCUUGACGGUACUGUAAGNAUAAGGAUCGGCUAACUCCGUGNCAGCAGCCGNCGGUNAUACGGNNGAUCCANGCGUUAUCCGGAAUCAUUGGGUUUAAAGGGUCCGUAGGCGGUUNUGGUAAGUCAGUGGUGAAAGCCCAUCGCUCAACGGUGGAACGGCCAUUGAUACUGCCAGACUUGAAUUACUGGGAAGUAACUAGAAUAUGUAGUGUAGCGGUGAAAUGCUUAGAGAUNACAUGGAAUACCAAUUGCGAAGGCAGGUUACUACCAGUGGAUUGACGCUGAUGGACGAAAGCGUGGGUAGCGAACAGGAUUAGAUACCCUGGUAGUCCACGCCGUAAACGAUGGAUACUAGCUGUUGGANGUAACUUCAGUGGCUAAGCGNAAGUGAUAAGUAUCCCACCUGGGGAGUACG
Molecule: ribosomal RNA, 530 nt
Filed under: uncultured Flavobacterium sp.
Lineage: Bacteria; Pseudomonadati; Bacteroidota; Flavobacteriia; Flavobacteriales; Flavobacteriaceae
Description: partial 16S ribosomal RNA
Rfam family: Bacterial small subunit ribosomal RNA
Source: RNAcentral